RNAcentral lists this long non-coding RNA (3840 nucleotides) under Brassica rapa (field mustard). RNAcentral's name for it is "long non-coding RNA (BRAP_LNC004288)". Lineage: Eukaryota; Viridiplantae; Streptophyta; Magnoliopsida; Brassicales; Brassicaceae. The record is from RNAcentral.
ACUCGUCUCGCCAUUCCAAUCAUCUAUGGCUUGGACGCAGUUCACGGCAACAACAAAUUCUACGGUACCACCAUUUUUUCUCACAACAUAGGACUCGGUGCCACCAGGUUCCUCCUAAACCACAGACAAUUUUAACCGAAUGAGGAAAAAAGACCAGCUCGGCUCGGUGUAUUGAUUCGGUUUCAUGAUAACAUGGCAGAGAUUACGAUCUAGCUAGAAUAAUUGGUUCAGCGACUGCUCUAGAAGUUAGGGCAAGUGGGGCUCACUGGGUAUUCGCUCCUUGUGUGGCGGUAAGUCUUCUCUAAUUUUAAAGAGAAAACAUGAACCAUAUGGACUGAUCAUGUUUGUGAGAUUUGGUAGGUGUGCAAAGAUCCGAGAUGGGGAAGAUGUUUGGAGAGCUACAGUGAAGACACUGACGUUGUAUGCAACAUGACAUCCAUUGUCUCCGGUCUUCAAGGACCUCCACCGGAAGGACAUCCCGCCGGUUUCCCUUUCCUAGCCGGAAGGUCCGUUUUCAUUAAAACAUUCCUUAGCAAGCAUGUAACAUCUUGCUCAUGUUCUUAAACUUGGGGGUUAUGUUUCAGGAACAAUGUGGUUGCAUGUGCAAAGCAUUUUGUUGGAGAUGGUGGUACAGAAAUGGGUAAGAAUGAAGGGGACACAAUAGCUUCAUAUGAAGACUUGGAGAGGAUUCAUAUGGCUCCUUACUUGAAUUGUCUUGCAGUCUCUGCGGUUAUGCCUUCUUAUUCUCGUUGGAACGGAAGAAAACUCCAUGGAGACCGCUUUCUCAUGACAGAAAUUCUCAAAGACAAAUUCGGUUUUAAGGUCGAAUCACAGUCACUUUUUUUCUCGUUGGAUCAAAAACUGACUAAAAUUUCUUAAAUUGUGGUCGUUCUGUUUUUGUAGGGAUGUUUGGUUUCAGAUUGGUCGGGAAUAGAAAAGAUGGGAGAACCCCGUGGUUCGAACUAUCGUGAGUGUGUGGAAGCUGCUAUCAACACUGGAAUAGACAUGGUCAUGGUCCCUUAUAGGUAUGAGAAGUUCAUCAAUGAGCUAACAUCUCUAGUGAAGGACGGGAAAAUACUUAUGUCUAGGAUCGAUGAUGCGGUCGAGAGAAUUCUGAGACUGAAGUUCACAGCUGGUCUCUUCGAACACCCUUUCUCUGACAUAUCGUUGCUGAAGUUUGUUGGCUGCAAGGUAGAUUCCACUUAUGAUUGCUCUCAUAAUCUGAAGUUAUGAAAUCAUAAAAUCGAAUUUUACACACAGGAACACAGAGAGAUAGCUCGUGAAGCGGUUAGGAAAUCUUUAGUUUUGUUAAAGAACGGGAAAGAUUCAGACAAACCAUUUCUACCGCUAGAUCGAAACGCAAAGAGAGUUUUAGUGGCAGGAACUCAUGCAGACAAUCUCGGGUUUCAGUGUGGUGGUUGGUCCAAGACUUGGCAGGGUCAAAGUGGUCGGAUCACAGUCGGUAAGCUACAAGAAACAAACUCUGCUUCCACAGAGUACUUUCUUGCGUAACAAGCUAGCUAUAACAUCCUCUAUUUCACGAGUGCAGGCACAACUGUCUUGGAUGCCGUCAAAGCAAUCGUAGGAGCAGAAACAAAAGUGGUUUACGAGAAGACUCCUUCGGAGGAGACUUUUCCAACGAGGACUUCUCAUACGCCAUUGUUGCCGUCGGGGAAGCGCCCUAUGCUGAAUCCCGAGGCGAUGAUCCAGAGCCGUCGAUACACUUCGAUGGGGAUUCGAUAGUGAGAUUGGUAGCUGAGAAGAUCCCGACAGUGGCGAUUCUGAUGACGGGACGACCUUUGGUUUUGGAUAUGACCAUGUUGGAGAAGGUGGAAGCUUUGGUGGCGGCUUGGUUGCCUGGAACUGAAGGAGAUGGAAUCGCCGAUUCGGUGUUCGGAGAUUACGAUUUCACUGGGAAGUUGCCGAUGUCGUGGUUCAGAGAGACAGAGCAGCUGCCGAUGAACCCUGAAGCUGAUAGCUACGAUCCAUUGUUCCCGUUAGGGUUUGGGCUUAAAUGUAAGAGAGAGUAAUAAUACUAGUCCAUGGGAGAGAAGUCAAAAUAAGGGAUUUCUUGGCCAAGUGUGUCUGAUCUAUUCUCAAUUGCAUUUGGAUUUGGUUUAGUCCGGUUUUCUCAUUUGCUCACUUUGGUUUUAUUGUUUUGGUGUGACGUUGUUUGGUGUAAGUCGUAUUUUAAAAACUUCAGAAGCUGUCUUCCAAUAAUUAAGAAAUUGUUUCCGAUAACAGAGUCUAUUGAAAUAUUGUGGCUUAUUGGUGGCACUAGCACAACAGAUAGGACAUAUGAAAUAUUGUGGCUUAUUGGUUAGAGCAUCAUUAUCCCUAGCACCCAUAAUGGGUAUCUUAAUCUCUUUUUUACUAAUAAAUGUGUGUUAAGCACUUUAUUUAAAAGCUUUCUAAUUUUUUGCCUCCAAUGCAAGAUUCUUAUUUUGGGGUUCUUAAAAAAAAUAUUAAACAUUGUUUUAUAUAAGAUAAAUUUUAUUUAUUAUAUAAGACAUAUUAAAAGAUAACAUUUAAAACAUUGAAUUUUAAAUAAAAACAUAAAAACAAAGAUUAGUAAAAUAUUCGAGAAUAAUUUGAAAACGUUUCAGAGAUGGAAGAGUGAAAUAACAUAUAUGAAUCUGUUGGAGUUGGAAGAGAAGGAGAGAGUUUUAAAGAGAGAAUGCAGACUCUCAUUAAACACUCUAAACAACUAUAACUAAUUACCUAACUACAAACAAAUGCAAGUUGACAUAUAUCUAACUUCUAUUAAUUACAAUUUCACAACCAUAAUAAAACACAUAGCAAGUAAUUUAUUAUUGACAAUUCAAUUCAUUUUCAAAAACAAAAAUUCAAUUCAUUUUCAAAAACAAAGCAACUCAUUCAACUACCUAACUUUACCACACACAAUCCUUUUCUUAAUUCAACAUCACUUCUAUUAAUUACAAACAUCAUUGCCAACUCACCAAAACAUUAACUACCUAACUCAACCAUAAAACUUUCAAUGAACGAAUAAAAGAUAAAGACAUUUACCUGUAUUGCUCCAGUAAAUGAAAUUAUGUGCUGUGAUCCUUCCUCAGCCUCCUUGAUCCAUGCAACUCAACAGACAAAAACACAGGAAAAAAAAACAAAAAUGAGUAACAGAUCAAGGAUUCAAAUUCAUGACACUCAAUUCAAUUGAGACAAGAAGCUAAAUCAUAUAAUUGAACUCUUAAACAAUUCAGACCAGACUAUUCAUCUCCCUCGAUUCAGUUCAGUUACGGAUCAAUUGGGGUACAUAACACACAGAUACAAAUCACAUGAUCAUAAACAAUCUAUUCAACUCAGACAAGAACGACAAUCAAUUCAUUUGAGACCAUACUCGUAAACACUUUCAAUCAAUAUCAUAAACGACCAACGAAUAAAACACAAAGUUUUUCUAUAAACAUUCAAUUUCAAAAACAAACACAAGAGACAGAGACAAAGACAGUGACAAAUGAAACCUUCAUGUCUAUUGAUCCGUCUUUGGUAAGAAACAAAGAAAGAGACAAAUUGUUUACCUGUUUUGCAGUUGUAGUGAUCUUCUGUAACGAACCUUCAUGUCUAUUGAUCCGUCCUUAUUGAUCCGUCCUUAGUAAGAAACAAAGACAGAGACAAAUGAAAAUUAAUCAAAACUAACCGAGACAACAAACAAAUCAAAUAACAUAGAAGGAUUCAGACAAGGAAUAAUACAUAUGCUUACCUUGCGAUUUGAUUUUCUCGAAGACAGCCACCAAGAGAGAGGUACAAGUUUGUCACCGACGAGGAGAUCCACCGAGAGAGAGGACAGCACCAUCGAGGAGAGAGACAGAGACGAGGAUUCCACCG